UAAUAAGUGUUUUAUGGCACUUUUUAAAUCCAUAUCCACCUUGUGUGCAAUGUCGGUCGAUCUUCUGUUUUUGAGGAUCGACCAAACAUCAACCUUUAUUUUUUAACUCUUUGUCUGGAAAAUAUUAUGAAUAAACAAUUCAAAAUA
RNAcentral lists this unclassified non-coding RNA (147 nucleotides) under soil metagenome. Its description in RNAcentral is "partial internal transcribed spacer 1". The record is from RNAcentral.